Molecule: non-coding RNA, 421 nt
Organism: Plutella xylostella (diamondback moth)
Lineage: Eukaryota; Metazoa; Arthropoda; Insecta; Lepidoptera; Plutellidae
Source: RefSeq, a predicted model, not a curated record
UAACCCCGUUCCUAUCCUGGUCGCCGUGGGUGCCGCUGGGCCGCCUGGCGUUCGGCGUGUACCUGGUACAUGGACUCAUCAUCUACCGCAACACAUACGUCACCAGAAACCUGCUGCAGCUCGACAAACCCACUAUUACAUCAGCCUACCUGGGCGUGACGGUGAUGAGUUUGUUCAUCUCCUACCACCUCUGGCUGCUGGUGGAGGCUCCCGUCAACAACCUGUUCAUGCUCGCCUUCAUACCCAGGCACCUCCUAAAGAAGAUAGAAGCAAGAGAAUUAACCGAAGAGGAUAUCAACCCGAAAGCUAAUGGAAUAACGAAUAACCACAAGCAAAGUAUGACGGACACUGUACCUGACAAACAAGUGUAACUAUAGAUAUUAAAUAUUUUAAAAAUAAAACAAUUUAUUAUACGAAUUUA